GAUGAACGCUGGCGGCGUGCCUAAUACAUGCAAGUCGAGCGAACGGACGAGAAGCUUGCUUCUCUGAUGUUAGCGGCGGACGGGUGAGUAACACGUGGAUAACCUACCUAUAAGACUGGGAUAACUUCGGGAAACCGGAGCUAAUACCGGAUAAUAUUUUGAACCGCAUGGUUCAAAAGUGAAAGACGGUCUUGCUGUCACUUAUAGAUGGAUCCGCGCUGCAUUAGCUAGUUGGUAAGGUAACGGCUUACCAAGGCAACGAUGCAUAGCCGACCUGAGAGGGUGAUCGGCCACACUGGAACUGAGACACGGUCCAGACUCCUACGAGAGGCAGCAGUAGGGAAUCUUCCGCAAUGGGCGAAAGCCUGACGGAGCAACGCCGCGUGAGUGAUGAAGGUCUUCGGAUCGUAAAACUCUGUUAUUAGGGAAGAACAUAUGUGUAAGUAACUGUGCACAUCUUGACGGUACCUAAUCAGAAAGCCACGGCUAACUACGUGCCAGCAGCCGCGGUAAUACGUAGGUGGCAAGCGUUAUCCGGAAUUAUUGGGCGUAAAGCGCGCGUAGGCGGUUUUUUAAGUCUGAUGUGAAAGCCCACGGCUCAACCGUGGAGGGUCAUUGGAAACUGGAAAACUUGAGUGCAGAAGAGGAAAGUGGAAUUCCAUGUGUAGCGGUGAAAUGCGCAGAGAUAUGGAGGAACACCAGUGGCGAAGGCGACUUUCUGGUCUGUAACUGACGCUGAUGUGCGAAAGCGUGGGGAUCAAACAGGAUUAGAUACCCUGGUAGUCCACGCCGUAAACGAUGAGUGCUAAGUGUUAGGGGGUUUCCGCCCCUUAGUGCUGCAGCUAACGCAUUAAGCACUCCGCCUGGGGAGUACGACCGCAAGGUUGAAACUCAAAGGAAUUGACGGGGACCCGCACAAGCGGUGGAGCAUGUGGUUUAAUUCGAAGCAACGCGAAGAACCUUACCAAAUCUUGACAUCCUUUGACAACUCUAGAGAUAGAGCCUUCCCCUUCGGGGGACAAAGUGACAGGUGGUGCAUGGUUGUCGUCAGCUCGAGUCGUGAGAUGUUGGGUUAAGUCCCGCAACGAGCGCAACCCUUAAGCUUAGUUGCCAUCAUUAAGUUGGGCACUCUAAGUUGACUGCCGGUGACAAACCGGAGGAAGGUGGGGAUGACGUCAAAUCAUCAUGCCCCUUAUGAUUUGGGCUACACACGUGCUACAAUGGACAAUACAAAGGGCAGCGAAACCGCGAGGUCAAGCAAAUCCCAUAAAGUUGUUCUCAGUUCGGAUUGUAGUCUGCAACUCGACUACAUGAAGCUGGAAUCGCUAGUAAUCGUAGAUCAGCAUGCUACGGUGAAUACGUUCCCGGGUCU
Molecule: ribosomal RNA, 1372 nt
Filed under: uncultured bacterium
Lineage: Bacteria
Description: bacterial SSU rRNA
Rfam family: Bacterial small subunit ribosomal RNA
Source: RNAcentral